AAGUAUUUAGUCCUUUAGUUUAUUUAAGCAAUUUAUAAUGUGGAAUAAGUCUCUAUAAUUUCAAAAACAUAAUUAUUCAGUCCUUGCAAUUUCAAAAUGAAAAUUACUCAAUCCCUGUAAUUUCAAAAUGAAAAUUGUUUAAUCAUUGCAAUUCAAAAUAACAACUAUUUUAGUCCCUACAAUUCAUGGGAGAGACUAAAGGUCUAUUUGGUAUUACUGUUGGACCUGAAUCACUUCUUAAAUAUACUAUUUAGAAAAUAUUAAAAAAUAAUUCAAAAUUAUUUUUGAUAUAAUUUAGUUAUAAGAAUACCAAACUAAUAAAAUAACUUUGCUACACUGCUUUUUUCAACAUCAUUUAGAAUGGUGCUUUUUGUAAAAGGUGUUUUUCUGGCAUCCAAUCUUAAUGCCAAACAGGCUCUAAUUAAUGGUUUGAAAAGACAUAACCAAGUAGUUAGUUUCAUUAAAC
Molecule: long non-coding RNA, 466 nt
Filed under: Manihot esculenta (cassava)
Lineage: Eukaryota; Viridiplantae; Streptophyta; Magnoliopsida; Malpighiales; Euphorbiaceae
Description: long non-coding RNA (MESC_LNC008515)
Source: RNAcentral